Felis catus (domestic cat) is the source of this 5018-nucleotide long non-coding RNA. RefSeq lists it as uncharacterized. The transcript is spliced from 5 exons. The record is from RefSeq and is a predicted model, not a curated record. Lineage: Eukaryota; Metazoa; Chordata; Mammalia; Carnivora; Felidae.
GAAAGAACUCUGUUGUCAAGGGACUAUUUUUCUCAUCCUAGUUCCAGAGCCUCUUUUAGAAAACGGAAGGAGACAGGAUUAUAGUCAGUGUGGAGCACGCAAAGAGUGUCAAGGGAACGUGGCGGGGUGAGGUCAGGGGCGUGAAGACCUGGCCCCGCCCCCUGAAGGACUGGGAGGAGUUACAAGGGCAGAAGUAAAGUGGAGAAAGACGCAGAAGGUGGCUUUGCUAAGCAACUGCUUACCAGAGUGUCAAAUAGACUGGCCGCCGUGUGCAGGGUCCAGACUGUCUUCUUCUGUGCAUGUAUCCCAGCACCUACACAGGACCACCAUCAUGGCAGUGUUGCUCAUCCAUUCUACACCCACCCCUCUGCCAGCCCCUGCGUGCUUUCUUUCGAAGGCUUCCCUACAGCACUUCAAACAUAGCAGCCAUAGUAGCCAUUUUUCAUACUUAAGGUCUCAAACAUUCCCGUUUCCCUGGAAAGCGCAAAGACUCUGGGCAUCAUGUCCCAGUGCCUAACAGAGCCUCACAAGAAUUCCAUGACUAAAGGCAUCCCAGUUCCAACCUAAACCAGUGAGAGAAGGGAAGAGAAGACUGCUUCCUCUGAAUCAUAGCAGUGCCCUUUCUAAAACAAAACAUACAGCACAGUUUUUCCUUUUUAGGAUCUUAUCUCACAAACAUACCGUGUAAAAAUGUAUGUGCAGAUUUGUUCAUUGUACCAAUACUGGUAACAGUACUGGUAAAAGUCUCUCAUCAGGAAGGGAUUGCUUCAACUGUGGUACGUCACACAAUGGAACCCCAUGCAGCCACAAAAAGGGGUGAGGUAGGUCUAUACGUGCUAACAGUAAAACUGUCACAAGUAAGCGAAAGCACAAGUUGCAAAAAAGAGAGAGAGAAUGUGUGGUUUGAUUACAUUUCUGAAAAAAUAAAAAUCGUUGAUUUUUAAAUGUUAGUAAAUUACAAGAUAUACGCCAAAAUUAACUAUGGUUACCUCCAAGGGAGGAAAGAGUAGAGUGUGUGUGUGUGUGUGUGUGUGUGUGUGUGUGUGUGUGUGUGUGUGGGCGCGCGGCAUGUGGUAAGGGAAGGCUUUCAGAAUUUCUUACCAUGAGCAUAUAUUACUUUGGUAAUCAGAAUAAAUAAAUGUUACUUUAAACAAUCCAAAUAUAAGCAGGGCCAUUGAAAGAUGUGAACUGAUGUUCUGAAUUGCCAAGCACUUUGUGGAUGAGCUUUAUAGACUGUUUUUGGGUAAGCAGGUCCCUUGUCCCCUUCUCUCAAGGUCAAAAAAGCCUAAGCAAAAAUUCCUCCUUUCCCUUCAUUCUACAACCUCUCUUCCGCCCAACAGUAAUCAUCCACAAAAAAGAAACAUCUGAUAUGCUCGAGGGGUUUCCAGAAAACAAGACUUUCCCACUGGGAAGUUAGAGAGCACCCUGGGAAGAAAAAUGGGGAGCUAACAUUUGAGUUCUGCAUGGCAUCUAAGAAUUCCCAAGUCAAUCAACUGUAUCUACUCCGAAGAGCCCCUUCUGGUCUGGGAAGGCCCUCAAAUGCCAGUGGGUCACCACGGAGGUAACGUGCUCUGUAGAUAAACAUGUGCACACAAAGCACCGUGUCCUCAGGAGCUUUGGGGACGUGCUCGUUAUAAUGAGGUAUUGAGAUGCUGUCCCAGAGACCUGGGAGACCAAGAGAAAUCUGCAGAGCCUGGAGUCAAAAGGGCCGCGGCAUGAGUGCCUGCUUGAGAAGACCAGGCCAGUGAUGGUGCUGGAAAAGUCCCAAGUCCAUCCACUCGAUGUCCUGUCGGCCUUACAAAGUCUGCUGGCGGUGGGCCUGCGGGCCCUCCUCGCUGGUGUCCGGGGGCCGGGGGGGGGCAGGCACUGUCUCGGGCUCCCACACCUGUGGAACUGCUUGGAUACGACAGAAGCUGCUCCAGGGGCCACUGUGACGCCGUGGUGACCCUGAGGGGCCUCUUUGCUUUCCCCCCACAAUUGCUUCAGAAACUGUGAGUGUCCACACCUGCGUUCCCACAGUCACCUGUGCAGGACAAGCAGCAAAGACAGAAGAAGGAAUGUUGUGGGAACAAGUGGCUUGUGUGAAUAGUGGGCACCCCUGAGCCGCCUGGGUAUCGGGGUCUGCCCGUUGCUCCUGCUCUCUACAGGCUGUGGGAGGACGCAGGCCACAGCCAGAGGCCAAGCUGGCCGGCCACCGGUUAUGGCUGCCUUCACCUCCCCAUGGCACAGCUAUCCUCAGAGGGCAGGCCUGAGGGAGCCAGGGAAGGCUCAUUUGUAAAGCAGGUUUCCUUUGUUUUCACUCAACAAAUACAACUGGUGCUUCCACUGCACCCUCUCUCACAGCGGAGUGGGCCACUUUUCCUCCCAGCUCGCGGGAGCUUCCAAAUGCCACCAGAAGCAGCCCUCGGAUCUGGCCCUGAGACCCCUGGCCCUUGCCUGCUGGAGGACAGCAGACUCCACCAGCCUCCAAGCUAAGAUGCUUUUUCAGAAGGGGCCAUGGGGAAGAGGGGCAAAAUGGGGAAGUGGAAUGAACUAUGGAGACACCAGCAAAAGGAAAGCAAAGAAGGGGCUAAGGCAUCUUCUGGAGGUCACUAGAGAUGAUCUUUACCGCCUAGUCAUUGGAUUAGAAGGAAGGGUCAAGGCAAAACAUGGCUUUCCUGGCUCGCCCAGUCUACUAGAGUCACCUGCGGUUUGCCCCAUUCCCAGGAUUAGUUCACCAUACCUGUUCAACUUCUCAUCCCUGGUCAAGAGCGUCCUUAAAAACGGCCCUCCUCACCUCUGGGACUCCCCCUGCUUUUCCUCUGGCUAGAACCUGCUCAUCUUUUUCACUCAGUCCUCUGUGGCCACGGGUCUUGGUUAACGGCCCCUUCCACACUGAAAACUCUCCAUACGUUUCUUUUAAAACCUUUUAUUCAAUAAUAUAUACUUUUAAAAUUAUAAUAUGUAACUGCCCGUCAUGCCAUAUAUUGCCCCCGUUCCCCACUGUGGAGUCUGUGGUCGGCUAGUUAACGUGGUCUGCUGGAAAAACAGGUGGCCACAGGCCGAGUCAAGGGGCACGGGAGAGCAACAGUAACCAACAACCAUUUUGCAUACCCUUCACAUUUCCCAUGCUUUCUGGGUCAGGAGGAAGUCAACAGGAAGCCAAAGGCGUGUGAACCUUUUACAUUCAGAAGUGAGGUUUGAAAUACGGUGGCGGGCUGCCCUUCGGUUGGUCUGGUUCGUGCUCGCCAAACCUGCCACCAUUUUGUGUCUGCUCACGGAACGUGAUCGCGCUCUACACACGUUAAGACGUUUGAUUUGGUUCUUGUUCUGCUUAUGGAAAAGUGGGAGGAACCGCAACAGACCUGGGGAAAGAGAUGGGAGGAGGGGAAAGACGACAUUAAUCAAUCUGACCCGGAGUGAGGACAGGCCUCCACUUGCCUGUGGUUUCCUUCUCUCGAAGAGUGCUGGGAACAGUGUGCAAGCUUGACUUUCCCACGCCACUGUGUGGAAAACCUGCACAGUGAAGUGGGUGGUGAGAUGCCAGCAGCGGAAUUCUAGAAGCAACGUCUCACAGAUCGGCACUACAUCGAGAGAAAAGGACUGUGCCCCUGGGAAGCUGUCACAGAAACAUCGCUUCGUGAAAACUUCCUCUGGGUAAAGGAAGAAAGGCCUUUCUUGAGAAAGGCCGCAUGGUGCGUGAGGUUCAAGAAAGAAAGGACUAUUUGCCUUUAAGCACUUCAGCAACUGAUUUCCAAGCGUCCAGCGCCACUGAGGGUUCCAUCAGUGAGAAGCACACUAAUUAAAGACACCACCAUCUGCCAAAUGCAGACACACAAUAGCGUGUGCCCGCUCUUGAUGCAAGGAAUGGGAGUGGGGAGAGGUUUUCAUAAACGCAGAACACUCAGCCACAAAGGUUAAAGUUGUGCACUAAAAUGGGCCAAUCCCAGAAGCAGGUGCCUAGGAGAGGGAUUCUGGAGCAAGUACCAAGAAACAGCACAAGCCCCACAUGACACCACUCUAGUCCCACCUCUCUUGAUAAAGGAAAGCUCCACACGAAGGUGGUGAUGAACUGCAACCCCCAUACACACAUCUUUCCAGUUCAAGGUGCACCCCUCCUCUCCCCCAAGAGACAGGAAAUACAAGUUUAAGGGCCUCAUAGCAGUGGCUUGUCUCCCGCUUGGGAAUCUGGUGGUUAUCAACAUUUUUAUUUUUGAAAACAAGGUUUCACAUGACACUUGUCUUUCCUCUAAGGGCAGCAGCACAUCAAUCAGACAUCAGUCAUCCAGUGAUACAAAGAGGUGGCCAAGUGUGUCUGAAGUGAUCAUUUGGAAGGGAUCACAACCCAGGCAGUGUUGCUGUUCUGCAAACAGAAGGAAAUAGUUGGCUCCACGGUUCUUGAAGAUUUAUCCAAGCUUUCCACAGGGUGUCCAGAUUUCUGUCCCAACCUCUUAGUCGCCAUUUACAGCAAGAAAAGCCAGCAAGUGCAAAACUGUUAAUUUAUUGAUUCAACGAAAGUUUUUUUUUUUUUUUUCAAACAAUCCCCAAUACAUGCAGUUCAGGAUUAAGUAUCACAUUUGUAGCACAUUGUUGAGUCUCUACACAAAAGUACUCAUGGCAUCAGCUGUAUAACCCAUCACAUCACUUUCCCCAGCCUCCACAACACCUGCUUGUCGUCGUUUCCAUGAACACAUCCAUAGAGCUCAAAAGUGUUUGUUAUUACUGGUUUUCUCUGCCAGAUGUUUCACUGCCACCUCCCCUCCCCCAUUCCCACCCUGGGGUUAAUUUUUAGAAGCAGGAUGUUAUGCCACCUUAGACUUAUUAAGCUCACUGAAAACCUCUGGCUCCUCGUGUGCUCCCGUGCACCCUGCUUUUGCUUUUAGAAGGGUUUCUAUUUCAAUGAACUUAACUCCAGCUUACCCCUAUUAUCUGCAGGAGGGAAGUUUGCUUUUUCCUGCGAGUGCCCAUGCAGGAACACAGGUUUCUAAACAAAUCGCUCAGUCUGAACUGGCAUUAAGGGAAACUGCUAAGUGGGCUUA